This is a long non-coding RNA of Hydra vulgaris (swiftwater hydra), 621 nucleotides long. RefSeq lists it as uncharacterized. The record is from RefSeq and is a predicted model, not a curated record. Lineage: Eukaryota; Metazoa; Cnidaria; Hydrozoa; Anthoathecata; Hydridae.
UUUAAAAUUGGUUUAGAUCACGUUUAGAUGGCAUUUACGUCGAUCUAAACGUUUAGGAAUCUAAUCUAAACGUGUUCUGAAUAUUUAAUUUGCGUUGAAAAGCUAAAUCAAACAAUUUCCGUACGGAACUAACUAAAUUAAAUUAGUUUCUUACAAAAUGUGUCGGACAUUUUCAAUCUUUCAUUAUGAUUAAAAAUUAGAGUUUCUUAUUAAUCUUAAAUUAUGUAAUAAAGGUUUAGAAAAAAUAAAAGAAAUUUGUUUUUAGUAUUAUAUUGUGGCUAAUGAAGGAGUUAAAAAGUCCUUCCAGUCAGUUGCAACAACAAUUAAAGCAGCAGGAAUCAGCCAAGUACACAUGCAAGUGAUCGUUAUGAGGAUUGCAAAACUUUUAAAUAUCAGAAACUGAAGAAAGCAUUGAUAAUCAGCAGAUAUCAAAAAAGCGCAAAAGUACUGAUUUUACAACUCUUUUAAAGGUUUCAUUUUAAUUUGUUAUUGUUUAUAUAGAAACUAAUAAUAUAUAAACUGAAAAGAAUAACAUAUAAUUAAUCCAUAAUUGUGCAUUAUUCUAAUCUAAAUUAUUAUUUUUUUCAAUAUCUUCAGAGUUAAUAUUACUAGUUUAAUCAU